CCUACGGGAGGCAGCAGUGGGGGAUAUUGCACAAUGGGGGGAACCCUGAUGCAGCGACGCCGCGUGGGUGAAGGAGCGUUUCGGCGCGUAAAGCCCUAUCGGCAGGGAAGAAGGAGGACGGUACCUGACUAAGAAGCCCCGGCUAACUACGUGCCAGCAGCCGCGGCAAGACGUAGGGGGCAAGCGUUAUCCGGAUUUACUGGGGGUAAAGGGGGCGCAGACGGCAGCGCAAGCCAGGAGUGAAAGCCCGGGGGCCAACCCCGGGACUGCUCUUGAAACUGCGCGGCUGGAGUGCAGGAGGGGCAUGCGGAAUGCCUGGUGUAGCGGUGAAAUGCGUAGAUAUCAGGAGGAACACCGGUGGCGAAGGCGGCCUGCUGGACUGCGACUGACGUUGAGGCCCGAAAGCGUGGGGAGCAAACAGGAUUAGAUACCCGUGUAGUC
Molecule: ribosomal RNA, 441 nt
Filed under: uncultured bacterium
Lineage: Bacteria
Description: partial 16S ribosomal RNA
Rfam family: Bacterial small subunit ribosomal RNA
Source: RNAcentral